This 1069-nucleotide long non-coding RNA is filed under the name Nicotiana benthamiana. Its description in RNAcentral is "long non-coding RNA (NBEN_LNC020800)". Lineage: Eukaryota; Viridiplantae; Streptophyta; Magnoliopsida; Solanales; Solanaceae. The record is from RNAcentral.
UCUUUUUUCCCCAACCCAAUACCAUACCCAACGCCCUCUUAGUCCAAAUUCUAUUUUCAUUGAAAAGCAAGACCUAGAGGGUGUUUGGCUAAAAGUAUUUUUCAAUAUCUAAGAUUUGUUAGUUCCUCUAAAUCAGCUAAGCCAAACUUACUCCUACACGUAAGAUAGAGAUCAGAUUUUUUCGAGGCUAGCGCAGCUUUUACCUGUCCCUACUAUCUCGACUAUCUUCCUCAUUUUUUCUCACUCGGCACAAGAACCAAAAACCAGACCACUCCCGUUUAGGAAAACCCAGGAGCGGCGCACCACUGUGCCUCUUGAAUAGAAAAAGAACGAGCAUCUCAAAAGAACUGAAAUUUCUAAAAGAAGAUAGACGAAAAAUUAAUUUCGAAAUUUAACUUCUCCUUUUCUGGUUUGUACGAGCGUCGAUUUCAUAGAUGUUGUCUGUUGAUUUUGAAUCUAUUGCGGCUGAACUUCAUCCUCGGAGUUUUUCGGCCUUCAUUUGAUUUCUGAAUUUUGUCCCUUCCUAUGUAGAGGUGUGACGUGCAGCUACUGCAAUAUUAUGCACUGCCUCCUUGGUUAACUAGAAUUACAGAGAGAAUAAAUGAGAAAUCAGGUUUAUUUCCUUCAUCAAUUAAUCACGUGCUUAUCAAUGAAUACCUUCCCAACCAAGGAAUAUCUGAACUUGUAUAAGCUGCUUUGCUCAUUUCAUUUGCUGCUUAUUCUUCUUUUUCUUCCUCCUUUUCCCAUUUCCGUUUUUAUCUCAAAUAUCUGUUCGCGUCUUGCCCUCUUUGUUUUGUAGCACCUACUUCCUUACAAAGUUUGAGCAUUUUGACAUGAAACUGUUAUAUAAAGUCAGUGUGCGUACCAUGUUAAUUCUGGUUAGGAGGUCCAUAUUGCAACUGUUAGCUCAUGUAACAUUGUGGGUAUUUAAGUCAUAUGCUCAUAAGCUAAUAAAGUAGGAUAAUAACUAUAGUAGUGAAUAAGGAUUAAAUUUCUUGGUUUACGUAACAUUAAAUUAGUUUUGCUGACAAGAGCACUUGCACUGUAGCCGCAUCAAGAUAGACCAGUU